This is a long non-coding RNA of Meriones unguiculatus (Mongolian gerbil), 3883 nucleotides long. RefSeq lists it as uncharacterized. The record is from RefSeq and is a predicted model, not a curated record. The transcript is spliced from 4 exons. Lineage: Eukaryota; Metazoa; Chordata; Mammalia; Rodentia; Muridae.
CAAAACUGAAAGUAGUGGCACUGAGGAGCGAGGCUGACAUGUUCUCAAUGGAAACUUUAAAGUAAGCGGGGUGAGACUAGUAUUCAGUCGUCUAUUCAACAACAGUGGAUCGCUACUUCUUCUUCUAUAUGCCAGACAUGUAAUGACACCAUUUGGCCUGAGUAUCCACCUCCCGCUUUCUCUGCUGCCACACCUCGCUGAAUCCUUGGCCCAGAAUGCGACAUCUGACUGGCUGAUAUCCUGGCAUCAACUGGUUGGUCCUGAGAGCUGGAACAAAGGGUGUGCCUGGGUUCGUCAGAACCCUUCCAGGGCAGAUAUGAGUAAGGUGAAUGCAGGGGCCUCUCAGAGACUCACCUCCUCCUUUGAAGCUCAGAUGUAUUGGAGGGGCUUGCUCAUCCCAGAUGAUUAUGGCCGGACAGAGCCCCUUCACUCAUCAGAGCCACCCUGGGUUGUUGCUGUCGGUAGCACGUCAGUGUUUGCUUUGAGUUAUGGGUGGAUGAAAAGAAGCCUGUUUGGAGUAUCCCUGUAGAGGACAGAAUUCAAAUUCCAAGAUGACUGAGACUUACUGCCUAGAGUUCAGCUCCUAAGAAGGAACCAGUGCAUAGAGAGUAAAGCCACAAGUAAAACAUGGAUACUGGACAUACACACAAGGUCUCCCUUCCUUCCUGUCCCUUGGAUCUUCAAUGUCCUCUCACAGAGCAGGGGUUUAAAGGCUUGGUCCCCAGCUUGGUGAUACUUUCAGAACAUUGAGCUUUUAAGAGUUGGGGUCAAGUGUGAGGUUACUGAAGGGGGUCUUGGUUACUUUUCUACUGAUGUGAGAAAACACCAUGACCAACCAAGGCAACGUAUAGAAGAGUUUGUUUUGGGCUUACAGUUCCUGAAGGCUAGACUCCUUCAUGUGGAUAUGGCAGGUAGUAGAUAUGGUGACUGGCACUGGAGGCUCACAGCUGAGGUCUGAGAGCUCACAUCCUAAACUGUCAGCUGGGAACAGAAUUAACUUUUUCUCUUUGAAGGCUGUUUUUUUUUUUUUUUUCCAGGUGUUUGUUACAGCAAUGGAAAGCAAAUACUUUUCCUUCUUCCUCUUCCUUCAUCCAUUCUUUCCACCUCUCUUUUCUUCCUUCUUUCCCAUUGUUCUUUACUUUUUAAAAAAGAAAUUCUUUCCAAGUAGACAUUCUGAUAGGCUCUAGGGACUAGUGAAACAAAACAGGUUGUUAGCUGCUAAUAAGUGAAUUAAUUAGACUUUUUGAUUGAACUUCUUCCCACAAUCUAGCUGGGGUAUAAAAAAAAAGGCAGUUAGGCAAGAUGAAGAUGAAUGUACAGAGGCAAUAGCAAGGAAUGAUCUAGAGAGAUGCAGAAGAAUAUGCAAAGGCUGCAGGGCCAAAGAGGUCCUGAUGCUCAGAAAGUUGUGACACAUAAAGCCACUAAUGGUAAGGAAGAUACAUGGCCAUAUUUGAAUUUGGACAACAUGGCCCCCAGCUCCUAGGCAAGAGGAUUUUCUUUUUAACAAACGGCAUUUCUAUCAAGAAGGAUAUGGUGAUCCACUCUUAGAAAGUCAACUCCCUUUUUCAGGCCUCAGUUUCCCCAUAUGAAUAAUUUCUGGUUGACAGAUGAAUGUUUUCUUUCAACCUUGGAUGUUCUUUUAGCUCCACUUUAGCCUCUGGGCUGUCUGUCAGAUGGACAAUUCGGCCCAGAGAGAAGGAACUCUGUGUGUUUCAACCUUCUGAAUGGGCAUGUGACUCAACAACUAGAGAGUUAUUCCUGACAGCUCACGGACCCCUACCUGCAGGGGUCUAAAGGGAUGUGUGGACAACUCGUUCCUUUGGGGUGGUUGUACAGAGUGUGUGUCACACCGAACCCAUGUGCUGCGCACUCUUCUUGGCUUCAGCCUUGGUAUUGCUUACAAACAAUGGGAAACAGGAGCGACAACCUUGAAGUUCACUCCUUGGCAUCUACAGUUACAGCAAUUCAGUGUUGUAAAUUAAGCAGACUGCCCAGGGAAUGAAUGGAGCCUUGAAGAAACAAAAAGGGAAACGCCACACUAAGGUAUUCUGAUAGGUGUAAAAACAAGCCACGAAACAGUCCACACAGAAUGAAAACUAAUGUGGGUAAGUUCACCUUGUCUUUCUAACGAGCAUUUGUAUAAUUGGCCCACACCACGUGACCACCCAAGACUUGGCAAAGUCACUGUGGUGCCUUCCAGAUGGGGGGACAAUUGUUGAGGGGGGCGCUUGCCUCCUUGGUCAUAGCCUAAUAUUUUCAGAGAAAGUAUGUGUUUAGAUACUUCAUAAUAAGUUAAGGUAAAUGAAAAAGUAAGCCAGGCCCCUUGACAAUACUCAGGAAAACACUGCAAGAUUCACUACUGUAUAAGGCCCAUGGAAGGGGCUUAGUGUCACUUUCUAUUACAAGUUUCUAUGCUCAAGAGUCUUUGCUUUCUUUCAUGUCUCCUUUGUAACGGAGGCAAGGUCUCACUCUGUAGCCUGACCACCCUGGAGCUCAUUGAGUUGCACCUGCAUCUGCCUCCCAAGUGCUUCGAUCAGAGGCAACACACCUGGCUACGUUUUAAAUAAUGAGACUAUGGUGAUAUAUUCAUGGUGAGAUUUAAAAGGUGGUUUGUGUAAGUGUGAGUGUGUGUGUGUGGGGGGGGAGGGGGUUGAGAGUUCUUCCAAUUUAGCUUUUCUCCAGAGGAGCAGAGUGGCUCAGAACCCUCCAGGAACCCAUGUGACUAAACAGAGCUUGAGGUGAGUCAGUGACCCAGGGAAGAAGAGCCAUGGCUCCAUCACGUGCUAUCAGAACACAGCACACUGGUUUAUUUUGCAACCCAGGCAGGUCCUUUAACCACAGCCUGCUGGCCCGCCCCACAGGAUGGGGGCAGCCAGUGCCAACCCCCUUUCCUUGAAUGACUCACGCUCUUUCCCGCAAUCACUGGGGGAGGAUGUGGAGAAGUUGGUCUCCCAGGCAGAGGUAUAGCUCCUGCCUAGGGCCCCUGCUGGGCUGUUUGCCCUGGAGGCUGCAGGGCAUCAGAGGUCUUCAGAGAAGUUCCCGGAUGGAGGUUACUGCUGUGUGUGGAGAUAAUGCAACCAGACCAAAGAAGUCAGUGCCUGUGUGGUGUGUGGAGAUGAACAAGAGGCAAGGUUUAGGGGUGUCCUGUCAAACCUGGGGUGCCAGUGUUGCAUAGGAACUAGUUCACAUGCCCAUGAGGCAUGGUUUGCUGAGCCCAUUUCACAGAAGCUUGAAACCGAGCCUCAACCAAGUAAGUGACUUGUCCAAGUUCUCAGGCCCAGACUAGUGAGUGGCAGAGGAGGCGUUUCAAGCCAGGUGUGGCUGGAGCUAAAGCCAGGUGAUUUUCAUCAUUAGCUGGUUGCUUCCAGUCUGUGCUUCUUGGAGGCCACUUCUCAUGAACAUUCUCCAGUUUGCAGGUAGGAGAAAAGGUAUGGCGACGCAGACAAACAGGUCCACUAGGCUGGUACCCAGAACAACAGAUAAGAUCUUUCUGGGAGGUACCAGACUAGGAACUUUAUGGUCUAACGCUCUUUAGCCCUCACAGCAACUGAUGACUCAGUUAUCCACUUUACAGAUGGGCAAACCCAGGGCUUAGAGACUAAUCACAGCUAGGAAGAAGAAGAGGAAGAGGAAGAGGAAGAGGAAGAAGAAGAAGAAGAAGAAGAAGAAGAAGAAGAAGAAGAAGAAGAAGAAGAAGAAACAAUCUGCUUCUAAAUUCUUCCCAUUCAUAGUCUCCUCCACCAUAUGUGGAAUACCUGGUUCUUGAUCUUGCCCCCUCUUUUUUGAGAUGCUGAGGAUCAAAUCCAUGGUUCCUUUUGUGCUAGGCAAGCACUGUACCCCUGAGACAUGUCACCAGCCUCUCCUUUUCUUCCCAAGGCUGACC